Molecule: long non-coding RNA, 684 nt
Filed under: Capsicum annuum
Lineage: Eukaryota; Viridiplantae; Streptophyta; Magnoliopsida; Solanales; Solanaceae
Description: long non-coding RNA (CANN_LNC016315)
Source: RNAcentral
GGGGGGUAAGAUGUACGCAGUCCAUACCUCUACCUCUGAUGAAGUAGAAAGGCUGUUUCCGAAAGACCCCCGGCUCAAGGCACAAGAUAUCACACAAACACAUAGUAAAGCACAGAAGCAGAUGACAUAACAUAAAUACGGCACCCAUAAGGAAUAUAAAACAGAGGAAAGCACACAGAUUCGUAAUAAGCAUGGAACACUGAAUACAGAAUCAUAACGGGAAUAAAAAAUAAAAAAUAAAAAAAAACCCCCACCAAGUAAUUCCCUACCCUAGCGACCCAAUCUGGCCCUACUCUUCUGCUGUAAUUCGCGUCUUCCAGACCUUCCUAUCUAGGGUCAUGUCCUCGGUGAGCUGUAACUGUUCCAUGUCCCGCCUAAUCACCUCACCCCAGUACUUCUUCGGCCUACCCCUACCCCGCCUAAAACCAUCCAACGCUAGCCUCUCACACCUACGGACCGGGGCAUCCAUGCCCCUCCUCUUCACGUGUCCGAACCAUCUCAAUCGUGCUUCCCGCAUCUUACACUCCACUGAAGUCACACCAACCUUCUCCCGGAUAGUCUCAUUCCGAACUCUAUCCCCUCGAGUCAGUCCACACAUCCAGCGCAACAUCCGCAUUUCUGCCACCUUCAUUCUUUGGGUGUGGGAGUUCUUAACUGGCCAACACUCCGCUCCAUACAGCAAGG